UGAGUAACCUGCCCUUCACUUUGGGAUAAACCCUCGGGAAAACGGGGGGCGUAAUACCGGAUAUGACAUUUCACCGCAUGGUGUGGGUGUGGAAAGUUUUUCGGUGGGGGAUGGGCUCGCGGCCUAUCAGCUUGUUGGUGGGGUGAUGGCCUACCAAGGCGACGACGGGUAGCCGGCCUGAGAGGGCGACCGGCCACACUGGGACUGAGACACGGCCCAGACUCCUACGGGAGCA
This 235-nucleotide ribosomal RNA is filed under the name uncultured bacterium. RNAcentral describes it as "partial 16S ribosomal RNA". It matches the Rfam family "Bacterial small subunit ribosomal RNA", at positions 118 to 347 of the family's 1533-position model. The record is from RNAcentral.